RNAcentral lists this unclassified non-coding RNA (204 nucleotides) under fungal sp. Its description in RNAcentral is "partial internal transcribed spacer region". The stretch from base 1 to 46 matches the Rfam family "Eukaryotic small subunit ribosomal RNA", at positions 1786 to 1831 of the family's 1831-position model. Lineage: Eukaryota; Fungi. The record is from RNAcentral.
AAGUCGUAACAAGGUUUCCGUAGGUGAACCUGCGGAAGGAUCAUUACAGUUUUCUGCGCUUAACUGCGCGAAAUACACAGUGUUUCUACAUUCAAUUAUCUCCAGUGGGCGUACGCACGCUGGAGGAAACCCAAAUCAACAUUUUAAUAAUUAGUCAAGAUAAUUUUAAUAUCAAAACUUUCAACAACGGAUCUCUUGGUUCUC